Molecule: ribosomal RNA, 373 nt
Filed under: uncultured organism
Description: partial 16S ribosomal RNA
Rfam family: Bacterial small subunit ribosomal RNA
Source: RNAcentral
GUAGGUGGCAAGCGUUGUCCGGAAUUAUUGGGCGUAAAGCGCGCGCAGGUGGUUCUUUAAGUCUGAUGUGAAAGCCCCCGGCUCAACCGGGGAGGGUCAUUGGAAACUGGGGAACUUGAGUGCAGGAGAGGAGAGUGGAAUUCCACGUGUAGCGGUGAAAUGCGUAGACAUGUGGAGGAACACCAGUGGCGAAGGCGACUUUCUGGCCUGUAACUGACACCGAGGCGCGAAAGCGUGGGGAGCAAACAGGGAUUAGAUACCCUGGUAGUCCACGCCGUAAACGAUGAGUGCUAAAUGUUGGGGGGGUUUCCCGCCCCUCAGUGCUGCAGCUAACGCAUUAAGCACUCCGCCUGGGGAUACGGCCGCAAGACUG